AUGGGGGGCGGCCCUGGGCCCUUUGCGAUCUCCGGACUUUCGGACUUAGAGAAAUUAGAGCAUCCGAUUCUCCGGACUUUUGGACUUAGAAAAAUUAGGACAUCCUCUCUCCAACACGCUACAGAGAUGCGUGUCGUAGCCCAUCGGGGCAAAGAAGACUACUGGCUGUGGGACCAUUUGAUGAGAAUAUCCUGGCUGUGGGACCAUUUGAUGAGAAUAUCCUGGCUGUGGGACCAUUUGAUGAGACCGACCCUCCGUGCCCGAGGAGAGAUAGAGCUACCGUCGACACCGGGGAAGCGUAGUGUAGAGAGGAGAGAUAGGGAUUCCCUCUCUUUUCCUCUGUCAACACCGGCGUGGAACGCCAGCGCUGCUCACUUCUCGACGAUACGGAGCGGCCCGUAUCAGAUAGGGGCCAUCAACAUUCAACAACAUUCCAGCGCAGCUCACCCUCCCCAAUCUGAAUCAGUGCGGGGGCCGACGGCAGGGGAACAACGGCCUUUCUCUUCACACAGCUGAGGGGAGUGUUGGAUGUAGUGUAGAGAG
RNAcentral lists this long non-coding RNA (543 nucleotides) under Gadus morhua (Atlantic cod). RNAcentral's name for it is "lncRNA (ENSGMOG00000032031.1)". The record is from RNAcentral. Lineage: Eukaryota; Metazoa; Chordata; Actinopteri; Gadiformes; Gadidae.